This 253-nucleotide ribosomal RNA is filed under the name uncultured bacterium. Its description in RNAcentral is "partial 16S ribosomal RNA". It matches the Rfam family "Bacterial small subunit ribosomal RNA", at positions 524 to 776 of the family's 1533-position model. The record is from RNAcentral.
UACGUAGGUGGCAAGCGUUAUCCGGAAUGACUGGGCGUAAAGGGUGCGUAGGUGGUUUGGCAAGUUGGCGGCGUAAUUCCGAGGCUCAACCUCGGCGCUACCGCCAAAACUGUCGGACUUGAGUGCAGGAGGGGUAAGUGGAAUUCCUAGUGUAGCGGUGGAAUGCGUAGAUAUUAGGAGGAACAUCGGUGGCGAAGGCGACUUACUGGACUGUAACUGACACUGAGGCACGAAAGCGUGGGGAGCAAACAGG